AUUCCACUGUCCUUCAGACCCUGCACAAGGCGAUCGAUUUGUUGUGAUGAAUAAUGAUGCAUUGAACAAAAUAGGAUUUGAAGAGAUCAAUUCACACUCUGGUUUCCAAUUGUGCAAAUUUCUUAAAAUAAGGUUCAGGAUUAUAUAUGGAAUGCGCACUUCUAUCAAUUUGUGGUUGCUUGUAAAGAUUGGCAAUUAAAGUUCAAUCUGCCAAACCAUGUAUGGUAGUUUACCAACUCAAAAAUUUAAUAAACUGAUUAUCUUGAACAGAAAAGAUAUGAUCUACGUCUAGAUCCAGGAGUUGAAAGAAAUUUCAAGCGAUGUAAUUAUUUCAUUGUGAUUACUAUAUCCAAUCUAGAAGAGCGAACAAAUCUGUAAAAUUUAACAUAGAAUAUUCACCUGAAAUGGAAAAUGAUCAGGUCCACGAGCUGGUGCUGAAUUGAUCUGCACUGUUCCUGUCUCCAUAGCAUCACUGAUCAAAAUUGCUUUGUUUAUAUCUCUUGUAAAGACACAUCCCUGAAACAAUGCAACAGCUUAGUUACUUGGACAAAAAAUAAAAUGCAACAACUAAGAAGGAAAUUAUUUCAAAGAGUUAAAUUAAUACAGUGUAUUCCGAACAAAAAGAAAUAAAUGUUUGUCAUUUUGCCUGAAAUGACAAAUAUAAAGUGAAAUACAGCAUUAGAAUUCCAAUGAGUUCUAAAUUUCAAAUGGCUUAAAAUGAAUAAAAGAUGGGUAUCCAUUGAAAUUAAGGCACUGUAGAUGAGCAAUGUUAUACCUGAAGACCAUAAUUGCUAGCAUUACAGUGGUGGAUUCCCUCUUCAACAGAGUUUAUCCUUAUAACUGGUAAAACUGGACCAAAAGGCUCCUCCCAGGCUAUCCUCAUGUCAGGUCGAACGUUAUCUAACAACAAUGGCCAUAUGAGAUUGCCCUCUCUUAUGUACUCCUGACAGAAUGUUGCUCCUUUUUGCUUGGCAUCCAUUACCAACCCUUCAAUAAAGUUUGCUGAGGAUUCUGUAACAACUGGAGUAAUAUCACAGUCGUCCUCAGGUGGUCCAACUGUCAAUUUUGUGACUUUGGCUUUAACUUUCUCGACAAGAAUAUCAGCAACCGAUUCAAUAACUAGAACAACCUUGACAGCCGUACACCUUUGACCGCUGUAUGAGAAGCCUCCUUUAACAAUAUUUGCGGCAGCUAAAUCCAAAUCAGCAUCUUCUAAAAUGAUACAAGCGUCUUUGCCACCCAAUUCCAUCUGAAGAGGGAUCAUGCCUGCCUUCUUUGAGAUUGCUAUUCCAGUGUCUCCACCUGUAAAGCUUAUACAGUUGACCCCUGGAUGCAUUGUGAGGAAGUCACCAAUCUCUGAACCCUUUCCAGUAACACAACUAAUAAGGCCCUUGGGAAAACCAGCCAAGUGAAAG
Molecule: unclassified non-coding RNA, 1415 nt
Filed under: Hevea brasiliensis (rubber tree)
Lineage: Eukaryota; Viridiplantae; Streptophyta; Magnoliopsida; Malpighiales; Euphorbiaceae
Source: RNAcentral